This 364-nucleotide ribosomal RNA is filed under the name uncultured bacterium. RNAcentral's name for it is "bacterial SSU rRNA". It matches the Rfam family "Bacterial small subunit ribosomal RNA", at positions 28 to 392 of the family's 1533-position model. The record is from RNAcentral.
GAUGAACGCUGGCGGCGUGCCUAACACAUGCAAGUCGAGCGAUUCUCUUCGGAGAAGAGCGGCGGACGGGUGAGUAACGCGUGGGUAACCUGCCCUGUACACACGGAUAAACAUACCGAAAAGGUAUGCUAAUACGAGAUAAAUAUGCUUUUUAUCGCAUGAUAGAAGUAUCAAAAGCUUUUGCGGUACAGGAUGGACCCGCGUCUGAUUAGCUAGUUGGUAAGGUAACGGCUUACCAAAGGCGACGAUCAGUAGCCGACCUGAGAGGGUGAUCGGCCACAUUGGAACUGAGACACGGUCCAAACUCCUAACGGGAGGCAGCAGUGGGGAAUAUUGCACAAAUGGGCGAAAAGCCUGAUGCAGC